AGAGUUUGAUCAUGGCUCAGAUUGAACGCUGGCGGCAGGCCUAACACAUGCAAGUCGAACGGUAACAGGAAGCAGCUUGCUGCUUCGCUGACGAGUGGCGGACGGGUGAGUAAUGUCUGGGAAACUGCCUGAUGGAGGGGGAUAACUACUGGAAACGGUAGCUAAUACCGCAUAAUGUCGCAAGACCAAAGAGGGGGACCUUCGGGCCUCUUGCCAUCGGAUGUGCCCAGAUGGGAUUAGCUUGUUGGUGGGGUAACGGCUCACCAAGGCGACGAUCCCUAGCUGGUCUGAGAGGAUGACCAGCCACACUGGAACUGAGACACGGUCCAGACUCCUACGGGAGGCAGCAGUGGGGAAUAUUGCACAAUGGGCGCAAGCCUGAUGCAGCCAUGCCGCGUGUAUGAAGAAGGCCUUCGGGUUGUAAAGUACUUUCAGCGGGGAGGAAGGGAGUAAAGUUAAUACCUUUGCUCAUUGACGUUAUCCGCAGAAGAAGCACCGGCUAACUCCGUGCCAGCAGCCGCGGUAAUACGGAGGGUGCAAGCGUUAAUCGGAAUUACUGGGCGUAAAGCGCACGCAGGCGGUUUGUUAAGUCAGAUGUGAAAUCCCGGGCUCAACCUGGGAACUGCAUCUGAUACUGGCAAGCUUGAGUCUCGUAGAGGGGGUAGAAUUCCAGGUGUAGCGGUGAAAUGCGUAGAGAUCUGGAGGAAUACCGGUGGCGAAGGCGGCCCCUGGACGAAAACUGACGCUCAGGUGCGAAAGCGUGGGGAGCAAACAGGAUUAGAUACCCUGGUAGUCCACGCCGUAAACGAUGUCGACUUGGAGGUUGUGCCCUUGAGGCGUGGCUUCCGGAGCUAACGCGUUAAGUCGACCGCCUGGGGAGUACGGCCGCAAGGUUAAAACUCAAAUGAAUUGACGGGGGCCCGCACAAGCGGUGGAGCAUGUGGUUUAAUUCGAUGCAACGCGAAGAACCUUACCUGGUCUUGACAUCCACGGAAGUUUUCAGAGAUGAGAAUGUGCCUUCGGGAACCGUGAGACAGGUGCUGCAUGGCUGUCGUCAGCUCGUGUUGUGAAAUGUUGGGUUAAGUCCCGCAACGAGCGCAACCCUUAUCCUUUGUUGCCAGCGGUCCGGCCGGGAACUCAAAGGAGACUGCCAGUGAUAAACUGGAGGAAGGUGGGGAUGACGUCAAGUCAUCAUGGCCCUUACGACCAGGGCUACACACGUGCUACAAUGGCGCAUACAAAGAGAAGCGACCUCGCGAGAGCAAGCGGACCUCAUAAAGUGCGUCGUAGUCCGGAUUGGAGUCUGCAACUCGACUCCAUGAAGUCGGAAUCGCUAGUAAUCGUGGAUCAGAAUGCCACGGUGAAUACGUUCCCGGGCCUUGUACACACCGCCCGUCACACCAUGGGAGUGGGUUGCAAAAGAAGUAGGUAGCUUAACCUUUGGGAGGGCGCUUACCACUUUGUGAUUCAUGACUGGGGUGAAGUCGUAACAAGGUAACCGUAGGGGAACCUGCGGUUG
This 1519-nucleotide ribosomal RNA is filed under the name Shigella dysenteriae. Its description in RNAcentral is "bacterial SSU rRNA". It matches the Rfam family "Bacterial small subunit ribosomal RNA". Lineage: Bacteria; Pseudomonadati; Pseudomonadota; Gammaproteobacteria; Enterobacterales; Enterobacteriaceae. The record is from RNAcentral.